Molecule: ribosomal RNA, 253 nt
Filed under: uncultured bacterium
Lineage: Bacteria
Description: partial 16S ribosomal RNA
Rfam family: Bacterial small subunit ribosomal RNA
Source: RNAcentral
UACGGAGGGAGCUAGCGUUGUUCGGAAUUACUGGGCGUAAAGCGCGCGUAGGCGGCUCUGUAAGUUAGAGGUGAAAGCCCGGGGCUCAACCCCGGAACUGCCUUUAAGACUGCAUCGCUUGAAUCCGGGAGAGGUGAGUGGAAUUCCGAGUGUAGAGGUGAAAUUCGUAGAUAUUCGGAAGAACACCAGUGGCGAAGGCGGCUCACUGGACCGGCAUUGACGCUGAGGUGCGAAAGCGUGGGGAGCAAACAGG